RNAcentral lists this ribosomal RNA (165 nucleotides) under uncultured bacterium. Its description in RNAcentral is "partial 16S rRNA". It matches the Rfam family "Bacterial small subunit ribosomal RNA", at positions 355 to 511 of the family's 1533-position model. The record is from RNAcentral.
UAGGGAAUCUUCGGCAAUGGACGGAAGUCUGACCGAGCAACGCCGCGUGAGUGAAGAAGGUUUUCGGAUCGUAAAACUCUGUUGGUAGAGAAGAACGUUGGUGAGAGUGGAAAGCUCAUCAAGUGACGGUAACUACCCAGAAAGGGACGGCUAACUACGUGCCAA